CACCUGGUUGAUCCUGCCAGUAGUCAUAUGCUUGUCUCAAAGAUUAAGCCAUGCAUGUCUAAGUAUAAGCUUUAAACGGCGAAACUGCGAAUGGCUCAUUAAAACAGUUAUAGUUUAUUUGGUGAUCGAUUACUAUUUGGAUAACCGUAGUAAUUCUAGAGCUAAUACAUGCGUCAAGGCCCGACUUCGGAAGGGCUGCGUUUAUUAGAUACAGAACCAACCUAGGCUCCGCCUAGUCCUUGUUGGUGAUUCAUAAUAACCCGGCGAAUCGCACGGCUUGUCCGGCGAUGGACCAUUCAAGUUUCUGACCUAUCAGCUAUGGACGGUAGGGUAUUGGCCUACCGUGGCGUUGACGGGUAACGGGGAAUUAGGGUUCGAUUCCGGAGAGGGAGCCUGAGAAACGGCUACCACAUCUAAGGAAGGCAGCAGGCGCGCAAAUUACCCAAUCCUGAUACAGGGAGGUAGUGACAAGAAAUAACAAUACAGGGCAAUUCUGUCUUGUAAUUGGAAUGAGUAGAUUUUAAAUCUCUUUACGAGUAUCAAUUGGAGGGCAAGUCUGGUGCCAGCAGCCGCGGUAAUUCCAGCUCCAAUAGCGUAUAUUAAAGUUGUUGCGGUUAAAAAGCUCGUAGUUGGAUUUCUGCCUUGGGCGACCGAUCCACCUUUCCUACGGGAUUGGUUGGUAUCAGGUUUGACCUUGGCUUUUUCUUGGGAUUCGUGCUCACGUACUUAACUGUGCGUUGACCGUGUUCAAGACUUUUACUUUUGAGGAAAUUAGAGUGUUUUCAGCAAGCUUAUGCCAUGAAUACAUUAGCAUGGAUA
This 819-nucleotide non-coding RNA is filed under the name Perkinsus marinus ATCC 50983. RNAcentral describes it as "Eukaryotic small subunit ribosomal RNA". It matches the Rfam family "Eukaryotic small subunit ribosomal RNA", at positions 1 to 815 of the family's 1831-position model. The record is from Rfam by way of RNAcentral. Lineage: Eukaryota; Perkinsozoa; Perkinsida; Perkinsidae.